UGAGGAAUAUUGGUCAAUGGGCGGGAGCCUGAACCAGCCAAGUCGCGUGAGGGAGGAAGGUCCUACGGAUUGUAAACCUCUUUAGCCGGGGAGCAACGUGCGCCACGUGUGGCGCAGUGAGAGUACCCGGAGAAUAAGCAUCGGCUAACUCCGUGCCAGCAGCCGCGGUAAUACGGAGGAUGCGAGCGUUAUCCGGAUUUAUUGGGUUUAAAGGGAGCGCAGGCCGCCGGGCAAGCGUGUUGUGAAAUGCAGUCGCUCAACGUCUGCACUGCAGCGCGAACUGCCCAGCUUGAGUGCGCGCAACGUUGGCGGAAUUCGCCGUGUAGCGGUGAAAUGCUUAGAUAUGGCGAAGAACUCCGAUUGCGAAGGCAGCUGACGGGUGCGUAACUGACGCUCAUGCUCGAAAGUGCGGGUAUCGAACAGGAUUAGAUACCCUGGUAGU
RNAcentral lists this ribosomal RNA (442 nucleotides) under uncultured Prevotella sp. RNAcentral describes it as "bacterial SSU rRNA". It matches the Rfam family "Bacterial small subunit ribosomal RNA", at positions 355 to 794 of the family's 1533-position model. Lineage: Bacteria; Pseudomonadati; Bacteroidota; Bacteroidia; Bacteroidales; Prevotellaceae. The record is from RNAcentral.